UGAGCAACACUGACCUUGGAACGUCCAUAAUAUAAUUCUGACUUAUCAUUGGUCAGAUCGAUUCACAAUCAGCCGACCGACUGAAUGUCGGCAACUGCGAUGGACCAUCGGACUCACAUUGCAGAAUGAGUCUUAGCCAAAUUAUAACACAGUUAUCCGACUCUCAGUUGGUGAUAAGGAUGUGGACAUCCGAUUAUUAGCCAGACACGCCGACAAACAUUUAGAUGCUCUCAAUCAACCCCUUAGCC
RNAcentral lists this long non-coding RNA (248 nucleotides) under Elaeis guineensis (African oil palm). RNAcentral's name for it is "long non-coding RNA (EGUI_LNC007196)". Lineage: Eukaryota; Viridiplantae; Streptophyta; Magnoliopsida; Arecales; Arecaceae. The record is from RNAcentral.